AUGCCAACUGAAGAUUCUGGGAUUGGUGAGCUGUGGUUUGUCAAAAACCAGCUGUGCUUCUCUGACCUCAGCCCUGAAAUCCAACCCCUCCCAUCUGAGAAUCCUGGACCUGAGCUCCAACAAGCUGCAGGAUUCUGGAGUGAAGGAGCUGUGUGGUUUCCUGCAGAGUCCACACUGUAAACUGGAAAAUCUGGGGGAACGAUCGUUUACCAAGGCCAGUGUUGCUGGAGUUGUGUGCAGAGCUGCGGCCGGCCCUAGAGCAGAACAUCCCCCCACUGGAGGAACCAGAUGCUGGACCCGUCAACUUCAACCCACCUCGGGAAGCCAUAGGGGCCUGGCAGAAUGUGAUUUCAAGCAUGUAAAGAGGCAAGGACAGAAUUUACUUGUACACAAGUGCAUUUAUUGAUUUGCUUAUACCACUGAGUACAUUAAUUAGUUGAUCUAGACGAUCAUUUAUACCACCGAUGGCUCUCACUAUUUCCUCCUGUGAUUCCAGCACAGCUCGGGUGAGGACACGCCCAGUCGGGCGGACAUCAGCAGCUGGCAGUGGAGCCGGUGGUGACACCGGGGCCGGUGGAGGAGUCUGUGCCCUCUCCUGGCUUCUCGUCUAUUGAGAAAUAAUAAAAACACUGUAAUUAAACAUGAGUCAAAGUGUUUAAUAUCCUGGCAUCUUUACGCACGACCUAUGUGUAUUGUAAGCAGCCAAUUGUAUGACCAGUAUAAUUACAAGAUUUAUGAGUUCAGCAUAUUUACCAUGGGGAUGAUCUGUGUCUCCUUCAUGGGCACUCACUUCCACGUUGAUUGGGAUGUACAAAAGACACGUGCUUGGAUCCAUGCCUACGCACAUGCCUUUGAUACAUCUGAAUUUAUUUGUGCGUACGACAGCUUCUGGGUUUUGGCGUACACCAAGUUUCAGUAGGAAAUCCAUGCAAAUCUUUGUACAUGAGGCCCCAGUUGUUUUUGGUGUAAGUCAAUCAUUAGAAUCAGCUUGUAGCCUAUACUACAAAUCACAACCAGGUUCUUCCUUAGUGUCCCAUUGUUUUCCUCCAAUGUCCCCUUAUUUUCCAUUUCCAUGAAACAAGCAUCUUUCUAUUUCUAUUUCUAUACCAAUAAACAAUGAAAUCAGCAUCAGCUGAGAAUAAUGACAGGUGACGUGAAAUAACCAAGCAUGAGCGGAGCACAGGGGUGGACUGGGACAAAAAUUUGGCCCUGGACUUGUUGGUCCAGACUGGCCCACUACAAUCCGUGCGUAGAUACUGUGCUAACUCGCCCCAUUGAUGUAGAUAAACCAUGCAAGCCCUUAAUAACACCACUAUACUGAGCAAUAUCCCUUUAUAUUCUGGAGCCUUGAAUAAAUAAAUGAUAAAUAUACAGUGCACUGCUUACUGUACUUGCUCAUUAUCACACAGCUGCCUGCUGCCUAUCACAAAUCUGGUCAUGAGACGUAGGGUAGUGUGGAAUAUGUUAAGUUUGAACAAGAUUACAUGCCAAAAAUGAGUACGUGGGCUAGUUGACUAAAGUAUGGAAAACAAUAGUAUAAUGAUCUGAAAAAUGGACAAACACUUAGAAUUUUUUUUUAAAACAGACAGUACAGCCGCGUCUGUGCUGCUGGUCCCGCCAGUAAACACACCACACUACUGUCAGUGAACACACCACACUACUCUGUUAAAUACGGAGGUUUUAGAAAUGUCCUUGCUGGAGAUGAACGCAUGUUUUUAGGAUUUUUAACUGAUCUACAGUCUGGCAUUGUUGGGUUUGAUACUUGUGUCCGUUCUUUCUUCAGACUGAGGAGCUGCAGUUUGUCAGAGGUCAGUUGUUCUUCUCUGGCCUCAGCUCUCAAGUACAACCCUUCCUAUCUUAAAGUCCUCAACCUGAGCUCCAACAAGCUGCAAGAUGUGCAUUUAAAGCCUCUGUCUGAACUCGUGGAAAGUUCGGACUGUGCACUUGAGACUCUGAGAUACAAGCGAUGAUCUUGAUGAAGGUGAGAGUGAAGAGGAGGAACAGUGAUCUCUCUGACUUAUCCUGCUUCACUGCAUCUAACCCUGAGCAUGAUGAAAUGUUAUGUGGAGAUGCAGCAGAACAAGGCUGGGAAGCAAAUGACCAACUACUGGAACACACACCAUAGGUUUGUUCAAACACAUAUGAAGGAAUCUAUAGAUAAUCAGGCAGCAUGAGCCCAACAGACCUCAAGAUGUUAACAACACCUAAUAAUAACAGUGAUGAUCUGGAAUCUCGUUAUACAAGUCACAUAUUUGUGCUUCCUUGUGUUUUUUCAUAUAUUUCCUUUUUCAUUUACAAACGUUUCUCAACAGGAAGAUUAUUACUUGUGUUUUGUAGUUCACCCCAUUGUACUGUCUGUACUGUACUGUCUGUACUGUACUGUACUGU
Molecule: long non-coding RNA, 2388 nt
Organism: Solea senegalensis (Senegalese sole)
Lineage: Eukaryota; Metazoa; Chordata; Actinopteri; Pleuronectiformes; Soleidae
Exons: 4
Source: RefSeq, a predicted model, not a curated record